UUUGGCCUACGGGGGGCAGCAGUGAGGAAUAUUGGUCAACGGCCGAGAGGCUGAACCAGCCACGUCGCGUGAGGGAUGACGGCCCUACGGGUUGUAAACCUCUUUUGUCGGGGAGCAAGACCCGCCACGAGUGGCGGAGCGAGAGUACCCGAAGAAAAAGCAUCGGCUAACUCCGUGCCAGCAGCCGCGGUAAUACGUAUGGGGCAAGCGUUAUCCGGAUUUACUGGGUGUAAAGGGAGCGUAGGCGGCCUGGCAAGCCUGAUGUGAAAUACCGGGGCCCAACCCCGGGGCUGCAUUGGGAACUG
This 305-nucleotide ribosomal RNA is filed under the name uncultured bacterium. RNAcentral's name for it is "bacterial SSU rRNA". It matches the Rfam family "Bacterial small subunit ribosomal RNA", at positions 333 to 635 of the family's 1533-position model. The record is from RNAcentral.